RNAcentral lists this ribosomal RNA (513 nucleotides) under uncultured bacterium. RNAcentral's name for it is "bacterial SSU rRNA". It matches the Rfam family "Bacterial small subunit ribosomal RNA", at positions 15 to 518 of the family's 1533-position model. The record is from RNAcentral.
GAUUAUGGCUCAGGAUGAACGCUAGCGACAGGCUUAACACAUGCAAGUCGAGGGGCAGCACGGGAGUAGCAAUACAACUGGUGGCGACCGGCGCACGGGUGAGUAACGCGUAUGCAACCUACCUAUCAGAGGGGAAUAACCCGGCGAAAGUCGGACUAAUACCGCAUAAAACAGGGGCACCGCAUGGUGAUAUUUGUUAAAGAAAUUCGCUGAUAGAUGGGCAUGCGUUCCAUUAGGUAGUUGGUGAGGUAACAGCUCACCAAGCCGACGAUGGAUAGGGGAACUGAGAGGUUGGUCCCCCACACUGGUACUGAGACACGGACCAGACUCCUACGGGAGGCAGCAGUGAGGAAUAUUGGUCAAUGGGCGAGAGCCUGAACCAGCCAAGUCGCGUUGAAGGAAGAAGGAUCUAUGGUUCGUAAACUUCUUUUGCAGGGGAAUAAAGUGCGGGACGUGUCCUGUUUUGUAUGUACCCUGAGAAUAAGGAUCGGCUAACUCCGUGCCAGCCGCAGC